AUUGAACGCUGGCGGCAUGCUUUACACAUGCAAGUCGAACGGUAACAGGCCGCAAGGUGCUGACGAGUGGCGAACGGGUGAGUAAUGCAUCGGAACGUGCCCAGUCGUGGGGGAUAACGCAGCGAAAGCUGUGCUAAUACCGCAUACGAUCUAUGGAUGAAAGCGGGGGACCGUAAGGCCUCGCGCGAUUGGAGCGGCCGAUGUCAGAUUAGGUAGUUGGUGGGGUAAAGGCUCACUAAGCCAACGAUCUGUAGCUGGUCUGAGAGGAGGGCCAGCCACACUGGAAAUGAGACGCGGCCCAGACUCCUACGGGAGGCAGCAGUGGGGAAUUUUGGACAAUGGGCGGAAGCCUGAUCCAGCAAUGCCGCGUGCAUGAAGAAGGCCUUCGGGUUGUAAACUGCUUUUGUACGGAACGAAACGGUCCGGGUUAAUACCCUGGGCUAAUGACGGUACCGUAAGAAUAAGCACCGGCUAACUACGUGCCAGCCGCCGCCGUAA
Molecule: ribosomal RNA, 498 nt
Filed under: uncultured bacterium
Lineage: Bacteria
Description: partial 16S ribosomal RNA
Rfam family: Bacterial small subunit ribosomal RNA
Source: RNAcentral